Molecule: long non-coding RNA, 5026 nt
Filed under: Gadus morhua (Atlantic cod)
Lineage: Eukaryota; Metazoa; Chordata; Actinopteri; Gadiformes; Gadidae
Description: lncRNA (ENSGMOG00000027095.1)
Source: RNAcentral
AUGGUGAUGGGGCCCUCCAGGGCAGACUCUGUCCCAUACGACGGCAACAUCACGGUGAAGGCGGCUACGCGGUCUGGCGAGUCGCCCGGGGUCUACACCCGGGACCUGGCCAUCGCCGCCCCUGUCUGCUUCACCGGCGGUGUGGUACUGACCCUGAUGGUGGUUUUGAUCUACCAGCGACUGUCCCGGAGGAGGAGAGAGAAGAAGGCGAGGAAGGAGCGAGAGAAGGAGCAGGAGGCGGAGGGAGGGAGAGCGGAGGAGCAGGACUCCAGCGCCUGGGGGAGGCGGAGGGAGCUGGCCUCUCCAGGAGACCGCAGGCCGCCCUGGGACGGCGGGCCGGGCGCUCUGGACCCAUCGAGAGCCGUGGGCGGCGGCGGACAUCUGAAGUGUCCUCACUGCAGAGGGGCGGGGCCGGGGGCCGGGGACCCCCGGGCUGGGGGUCUGGGGGCCCGGGCUGGGGGUCUGGGGGCCCGUGAACCCCGGGUCGGGGGCCUCGGGGAGGGGGGGAACCAGACGAGGAGCGAGCAGGGAGGCGUGGGGGGGAGGUCCGGGAUGCCGCCCCACAGGAGGGCGCUGAUCCCCAACGUGGUGGCCAACGGCGGCCCCGGUCACCCCCCCCCCAGAGACAGAGCCCCCCGGGGCAUCCUGAGACCCCACCCCACGGGAAAGUGCCUGGUUCAGUCCAGGACCCAUGGAGACCUGUCAGGACGAGGCUCAAUCCACUACAGGUCUGAGGAGUCAGGAGACCACUACAAGUCUGAGGGGCCAGGAGACCACUACAGGUCUGAGGGGUCAGGAGACCACUACAAGUCUGAGGGGCCAGGAGACCACUACAGGUCUGAGUGGUCAGGAGACCCAGACCACUACAGGUCUGGGGGGUCAGGAGACCACUACAAGUCUGAGGGGUCAGGAGACCACUACAGGUCUGAGGGGUCAGGAGACCACUACAGGUCUGAGGGGCCAGGAGACCCAGACCACUACAGGUCUGAGGGGCCAGGAGACCACUACAGGUCUGAGGGGCCAGGAGACGACUACAGGUCUGAGGGGCCAGGAGACAACUACAGGUCUGGCCCAGCCCCUCAGGCCAGAGGUUUUCUGUCCAGGCUAAUCUGUGACCACUGCAAUCAAACAUCUGGGGCCAGAGCAGACGAUGUGAGCAGCAGCCAGGAGGGGCUCUCCCUGGGCCCCUCAGAGCGCCCGGCCCUGCCCAAGUCCCGCCCCAGGGCCCGGGGGGCCAGGGACCUCAGCCCCAGAGACAGGAGAGGGAGGAGGAACGUUACCUUCUACCUCGAAAGACCCCUGGAGCCCAGGAGGUCUGGGGACAAGACGAGGAAGAGAGGCGAGGGAGGGAAGAGAGAGGGACGGCAGAGGACCAGAGGUCAUUCCAGGCGGCUGCUGAAGGUCAACCUCAACCUGAGUCCGGUCCGGAGGAACAAAGUCCACCCCGGGAAGUCCUCGGAGAAGAGGAGCUCCAGGGGGGAGGGCCGGGGCCCAGAGGGGAGGAAGGAGAAUGCAUCGGAGGGAGAAGGAGAUCAAGGAGGAGGCCGCAAAGAAAAGAAGAAUGAAACAAAGAUCUCCAAAAACAAGAAGGUAGUGGAGGAGAACAAGACCUCCUCUGAAGAGAAACCCUCCCAACAAAGCUCAGAACUAGACCAAAAGGAUUCUGUUGGGACCACGGACCAAUCAGAAGCCAGCAGAGCUCCUGAGGGCCUGACACCCUCCAAUGAACUGGGACAAGACCUGCAGCUGGGCCCGCCUCCAUGUCCUCCCCCCGCCCCGGCCAGCGUCUCUCUGACCCCCAGCGCAGCCCGCCCUGCAGCACGCCCCUCCCUGCGCGCCCUCCUGCCCCCGGCCCCCACCCUGCUACACCGUCACGCCAACAGUAGCCUGGCUGCUCACGUAGCGUCCCCGGGUCUCCGUGGUCUGACCCCCUACAGGGCCGCUCCUGCCGGCGCCCAGGGCCUGGCUCUCCACAGAGGCUUACGUCAUAGCGCUUCGGCCGCUUCCCUGCUAGCCAGCCCUGGACGGAGCAGACCUCUGCUGGGCCGGGCCGCCAGCACCCCCUCCUUCUACACCGGGCCGCCUGCAGUCCCAGCGCCCAGCACCCAGCCUCUGUCCCCUCCUCAGCCGCCUCCUGAGAGCCUCCCUCCGGCCCCCAGACCCCCCGCUGAGAGCCUCCCUCCGGCCCCCAGACCCCCCGCUGAGAGCCUCUCUCCGGCCCCCAGACCCCCCACUGAGAGCCUCCCUCUGGCCCCCAGACCCCCCGCUGAGAGCCUCCCUCUGGCCCCCAGACCCCCCGCUGAGAGCCUCCCUCUGGCCCCCAGACCCCCCGCUGAGAGCCUCCCUCCGGCCCCCAGACCCCCCGCUGAGAGCCUCCCUCUGGCCCCCAGACCCCCCACUGAGAGCCUCCCUCUGGCCCCCAGACCCCCCGCUGAGAGCCUCCCUCCGGCCCCCAGACCCCCCGCUGACCCACCCCAGGGCCCAGGCCUCCAGGCUGGGCAGGACCGCCCGGCCCAGGGGUCUGUGGCUGGGCGUGGUGGAGCAGGGCCUCCGGGAGAGGCUGGAGGGGGAGAUGGAGACCCCCCAGGGCCCCAUUGGUUGGUGGCUGGAGGCCCAGUAGUGGCCAGCCACUCCGCAAGCGGGGCUCGCCGAGGGGCCCUGACGGCUGCAGGGGAUGCCGAAGGGAGUGUGACCUCGGUACCAGUUGAGGGUGCAGAAGAGGGUGUGGUGUCCUCGCCAGGGGGCGUGGUUUCAUCUCCAAGGGGCGUGGCCACCGCCGGGUCUCAGGCCCUGCUGCAGCAGGAGUACCUGUCAGAAGACAGAGGCUCCUCCCCCAAGAGGAAGUUGAAGCUGGUCCUUCCUGAGAAGGCCUCCAGCAGACCUCCCACGGCUCUGGAGAGGAAGAUACGAUAGGAGGACUCAGGGUUAGAUGUCCCCUGACCCCCCACAGCCCUCUGGCGGGGGGGGGGGGGGUCCCUGGGAUUCAUUGUGGGACCAGCAGUAAGUGGACGUCCCACAGACAUUGAUGGUCUGUUGGGCCCUUCGAGGAAGCUCUGGUCUUCUGAUCCCAGGGUUAGAUGAUCCCAGACGUCUCUUCUCAUGGACACACUUCACCAUGAGCAGACAGAUAUUUGAACCUGAACUAGGAGACAUGUUAAAGAUGUAAGGUAGAGGACUUGGUUAGGAGGAGUCUCUAUGUCUCUAUGUUUGCAGUCUGUAGUCUGUAUGUCUCUCUGUCUGUAGUCUGUAUGUCAAAGGAACAUAAGGAUUUCAGACCCAAAGCCCUUACCUCAGUAAUUAUGAAAUCUUUAAGAAUUCUGCUCUGCUCAGACAACAAACGUGGCACCGAAGACGCUGUUGCCUCUUUAGUCCAUAUUAUUCCGAAACAUUUUAGACGAACCCAAGACCUAUGCAAGAGCCCUCUUUUCAGAUUUUUCAUCAGUCUUCAAUACCAUGCAAGCAGACAUUCUGGUGGCAAAAAUGGACCAGCAGGAACUGAACCAAUACCUGAUACAUUGGUAUGCUUAAUUUCUACAGUUUGUAAAGGUAAACAAAACCCUUUAAUCUGCCAUUAUCACCAAUGUUGGGGCCCCCCAGGGUUGUGUGAGUUCAACUAUGCUUUUACGUUCUACACAGAGGAUUGUCGUACAGACACAGCAAAUCAAUUUAUAAUAUAAUACUAGUUAGACUGAAGCACUCUUUUGUUCACCAGUUAACCCUAGAACUGAUCCAGGCACUAAAUCCCAGACCGAAUGCCCGCUGAUGGGCCUUAAAUGUUGUCGUCUGUUGCUGUAAUGUCAAGAUGAAUGUAUGUAUUUAAUUGUAAUUUUGGGUCCUGUCUUGAUGUCCUGUUUUUGAUGUCCUGGCCUGAUGUCUUGUCUGGGAUGUUUGUAAAUAGAGCUGCUUGGGAUGCAAGACAAAUUUCAGACCUGCUCUGACAAUAAAGUAUUAUCGUAUCGUAUUGUAUGUCGCUAUGUUUGUAAUCGGUAUGUCUCUCUGUCUCUAGUCUAUAUGUCUGUAGUCUGUCGUCUGUAUGUCUGUAGUCUGUAUCUGCAGGGUCGUUGAUGAAGAUUCACCUUCAAUGUUUUGAAAAUACCUUCUAACUCACAUUUGAUUUUUAAUUUCUUAUCUGUUGUACGUGCAUCUUUGUCUGUCUAACUUCCUGGUGUCAUACAGCAGAGAGCAGACCUAAACAUAGACGUACGUCGGUGUCUGUGGGAUACACCAGCAUGGUCUUCACCAACCCAAUAUGGCCGACAUGUAAACAGACAUAAUAACAUGUUAGUACGAACAAGGAUCUCCAGGAUGUCCUGUGAAGCGAUUGUAUGCAUAGUACCGGAUUCAGCUCAGAAACCAUCAGAUUCAUUCCUUCAAAGGGAUUAUAUUGGAGGAAAUAAAUUCAACAAAGUAGAAUACAUUUUUCUGACAGUGAGAGUACACAACAGUCGUCAGUCAAGUCAACUGAGCAGUUUUGGUUAGAAUGACCUCUGGAUUCUGAAAUCAAAAGAUUAACUUUGACAUUUAUACCUAUGGCCACUAGAGGGCAGUGUUGGACCAGUGAGAGACCAGUGUUGAACCAGUGGGAGAGCAGUGUGGGACCAGUGAGAGACAUAUAUUUAUCAAUGUAGUGAUAAUGAAUGAUGUCGGACUAAAUAAAAUAUAACAAAAUGCGUACAGUAAUUGUUCAUACUUUUAAUCGUCUAAAAUGUAAUUAAAAUUUGACCAGGAACGAUAAUACAUUAAUUUCCUAAUGCUUUAAAUAUCUAAUCUGAUGAGAGAAUUUAGUUUGAAUAAUUUAGUAACUCAUUAUUCAGCAUGUAAUAAUGGUAAAUUAUCGUACAUAUUGAGAGUGUGUGGUUCUGUUGGCGGCGCACUUCGCUCCACAACCUGUCGCGAGCGUACCCCUCGAGCAGCUGUUCGGAGGAUCUCGCGACGUCUCAGCCGUUGGACGAAGUUCUUGGCAGGUAUAUACAGUUUCUUACUUUAUAUAUAUAUAUUUAUAUAUGUAUAUAAUUACAUGCAGUUU